GAGACAGCAGCCGCCGCGGUAAUACGAAGGGUGCAAGCGUUAAUCGGAAUUACUGGGCGUAAAGCGUGCGUAGGCGGUGAGUUAAGUCUGCUGUGAAAUCCCCGGGCUCAACCUGGGAAUGGCAGUGGAUACUGGCUCGCUAGAGUGUGUCAGAGGAUUGUGAAUUCCCGGUGUAGCGGUGAAAUGCGUAGAGAUCGGGAGGAACAUCAGUGGCGAAGGCGGCCAUCUGGGACAACACUGACGCUGAGGCACGAAAGCGUGGGGAGCAAACAGGAUUAGAUACCCCCGUAGUCCCUGUCUCUUAUACA
This 308-nucleotide ribosomal RNA is filed under the name uncultured bacterium. RNAcentral describes it as "partial 16S ribosomal RNA". It matches the Rfam family "Bacterial small subunit ribosomal RNA", at positions 505 to 808 of the family's 1533-position model. The record is from RNAcentral.